This 417-nucleotide ribosomal RNA is filed under the name Apolygus lucorum. RNAcentral describes it as "partial 16S ribosomal RNA". Lineage: Eukaryota; Metazoa; Arthropoda; Insecta; Hemiptera; Miridae. The record is from RNAcentral.
GUCUUUUAAUUGAAGGCUUGUAUGAAUGGUUGGAUGAAAAAUAUACUUUCUUUAUUUUAUAUAAAAAAUUUAAUUUUCUAGUCAAAAAGCUAGGAUUUUUUUAUAGGACGAGAAGACCCUAUAGAACUUUAUUUUCUUUUUUUAUAAAUUUUAUAGAUAAAUAUAAGUUUAUAUAUUUUUGUUAAUUUUGUUGGGGUGAUUGAAAAAAUUUUUUAACUUUUUCUAUUUUUUACAUUUAUAUAUGUUUUUUUGAUCCUUUAUUAUGGAAUAAAAGAUUAAGUUACCUUAGGGAUAACAGCGUUAUUUUUUUGGAGAGUUCUUAUCGAUAAAAAAGUUUGCGACCUCGAUGUUGGAUUAAAUUAAGUAAUAGGAGUAGAAUAUUAUUUACUAGGUCUGUUCGACCUUUAAAUUUUUACA